This 69-nucleotide transfer RNA is filed under the name Diodon holocanthus (long-spine porcupinefish). Its description in RNAcentral is "tRNA-Pro". It matches the Rfam family "tRNA". From Rfam's summary of the family: Transfer RNA (tRNA) molecules are approximately 80 nucleotides in length. Their secondary structure includes four short double-helical elements and three loops (D, anti-codon, and T loops). The record is from RNAcentral. Lineage: Eukaryota; Metazoa; Chordata; Actinopteri; Tetraodontiformes; Diodontidae. RNAcentral also lists the same sequence under 1 other name.
CAGAAGAUAGUUUAAGUAGAAUUCGAGCUUUGGGAGUUCGAGGUAGAGGUUAGAUUCCUCUUUUUCUGA